Molecule: transfer RNA, 71 nt
Filed under: Lophiomus setigerus (blackmouth angler)
Lineage: Eukaryota; Metazoa; Chordata; Actinopteri; Lophiiformes; Lophiidae
Description: tRNA-Arg
Rfam family: tRNA
About the family: Transfer RNA (tRNA) molecules are approximately 80 nucleotides in length. Their secondary structure includes four short double-helical elements and three loops (D, anti-codon, and T loops).
Source: RNAcentral
AGGUAAUUAGUUUAAAAAAAAUACUUGAUUUCGGCUCAAACAGCUUGUGGUUCAAAUCCACAAUUAACCUG